RNAcentral lists this non-coding RNA (19 nucleotides) under Mus musculus (house mouse). Lineage: Eukaryota; Metazoa; Chordata; Mammalia; Rodentia; Muridae. The record is from RNAcentral.
CAAAGGUUUGGGUACGUUG